CUUUAAAUCCAAUAAGCCCUA
Molecule: non-coding RNA, 21 nt
Filed under: Arabidopsis thaliana (thale cress)
Lineage: Eukaryota; Viridiplantae; Streptophyta; Magnoliopsida; Brassicales; Brassicaceae
Source: RNAcentral